AGAGUUUGAUCCUGGCUCAGGAUGAACGCUGGCGGCGUGCCUAACACAUGCAAGUCGAGCGUGAUUGUUAUGAGUGGAGACUUCGGUCAAAGCGAGUAACAUGAAAGCGGCGGACGGGUGAGUAACGCGUGGGCAACCUGCCCCAUACACGAGGAUAGCCACUGGAAACGGUGAUUAAUACUCGAUAAGACCACACUGCCACAUGGCAGAGCGGCCAAAGAUUUAUCGGUAUGGGAUGGGCCCGCGUCUGAUUAGAUAGUUGGCGGGGUAACGGCCCACCAAGUCGACGAUGGGUAGCUGGUCUGAGAGGACGACCAGUCACACUGGAACUGAGACACGGUCCAGACUUCUACGGAAGGCAGCAGUGAGGAAUAUUGCUCAAUGGGCGAAAGCCUGAAGCAGCGACGCCGCGUGAAGGAUGAAAUCCGUAAGGAUGUAAACUUCUUUUGCAGGGGAAGAAUGUCCCGAUUCAUCGGGAUUGACGGUACCAUGCGAAUAAGCACCGGCCAACUACGUGCCAGCAGCCGCGGUAAUACGUAGGGUGCAAGCGUUGUCCGGAAUUACUGGGUGUAAAGGGUCCGCAGGCGGGUAAGCAAGUCGGUGGUGAAAUCCUGUGGCUCAACCACAGAACUGCCUCCGAUACUGUUUAUCUUGAGUACGAGAGAGGAUGAUAGAAUUCAUGGUGUAGCGGUGAAAUGCGUAGAGAUCAUGAAGAAUACCAGUUGCGAAGGCGGUCAUCUGGCUCGUUACUGACGCUCAGGGACGAAAGCGUGGGGAGCAAACAGGAUUAGAUACCCUGGUAGUCC
This 806-nucleotide ribosomal RNA is filed under the name uncultured bacterium. Its description in RNAcentral is "bacterial SSU rRNA". It matches the Rfam family "Bacterial small subunit ribosomal RNA", at positions 8 to 796 of the family's 1533-position model. The record is from RNAcentral.